GGGUGAGGCAGGUAAGGCCCCUGCUGCAAUGUCACACAGGCCUGCACGGAGGUCCCUGCUGCUCCCAUGACUGGCUCUGAGCCGCUUGUCAAGAUGGAGAACAGCAGGUGUUUCCCCCAAUGGAAGGCUUUGCUGCUUGGAGAAGGCAGGCCCUGUUUACACAGAAGCCUUUAAGUGCUGUGAUUUCGAUGCUUGCAGCAGUUCGCUGAAUGUUACAUCACCAGGAUAAUGUUUAUCCUAAGCAGCUAAAGCUGUCAUUGACAUUUGC
Molecule: long non-coding RNA, 268 nt
Organism: Hippopotamus amphibius kiboko
Lineage: Eukaryota; Metazoa; Chordata; Mammalia; Artiodactyla; Hippopotamidae
Exons: 3
Source: RefSeq, a predicted model, not a curated record